AGUGAAUCUAGUUUGAAGGCGGGUGGUAAUUGUCAUAUGCGAUUGGGGAGAGACAGAAAGAUGAUUACAACAGAUGCAACAGUGCCAAAGGGCUUUCAGGUUCCCUUCCCUGAUCUCUCAUCCUCAUUAACGGUUGAAAGAAUUACUCAUUUCAUGGACUGAAAGACCUUUCAGUAAAAGAGAACAGGAGCUGAUGAACAUUCAAGAUCAGUCAACAAAAAUGGACAACACUAUCAUAACCACAACAUUAUGUGGGGGUGCAAGCGACUUGAGAUAUUAACAUUAUGCAAAUGAGCAGUGAUGCGAUGCGGUGACUACCAAUAGGAUUGCAGAUGCUGGAGCUGAUGUGAUCCUUCUCCUGUGAGAUACGGCAGUCGAGCAUCAGCCAGAUGGAGAAGUUCAUGUCCCUGUUUUCAAAAGCUUUGUCCAGUUGCUCAUCCAGCAGCAAGAACGCCUACAGCCCAGCGACCUGCGACCUCCAGCGAUAAAACUGCUGUCAGAGAGAACGCCGCUUAAACUUGUGUUACAGAGAACGGAAGACCUCUCCAACAUUGUGUUGUUACUCAGAAGGCAAUGCCUCGCCAUCAAACUCUCUCGUCACCUCAUCUCCUCCUGGAAUGGCUUACCUUCUGACACAAAGCACCGUCAGGGCAGAGCAUGAAUGACUCUGGAGCACUGAAAGAAAAGCCAAUGACACCCUGUCUUCAAAACAAAGGACGUGAUUUCAGCGGUUGCAUCAUUUUGGACUCUGACGGCACCCAUUCACUGUAUUGGUGAACAAGUGAUGGAAUGCUACAUUUCUCCCAACCUGUUCUGAUGAAGAAACAAACUUAUCUACAUCUUGGAUGGCCU
Onychostoma macrolepis is the source of this 852-nucleotide long non-coding RNA. RefSeq lists it as uncharacterized. The record is from RefSeq and is a predicted model, not a curated record. The transcript has 7 exons. Lineage: Eukaryota; Metazoa; Chordata; Actinopteri; Cypriniformes; Cyprinidae.